Molecule: ribosomal RNA, 253 nt
Filed under: uncultured bacterium
Lineage: Bacteria
Description: partial 16S ribosomal RNA
Rfam family: Bacterial small subunit ribosomal RNA
Source: RNAcentral
UACGAAGGGUGCAAGCGUUACUCGGAAUUACUGGGCGUAAAGGGCGCGUAGGCGGCCUGUUAAGUCGGACGUGAAAUCCCCGGGCUCAACCCGGGAACUGCAUCCGAUACUGGCAGGCUUGAAUUCGGGAGAGGGAUGUGGAAUUCCAGGUGUAGCGGUGAAAUGCGUAGAUAUCUGGAGGAACACCGGUGGCGAAGGCGGCAUCCUGGACCGACAUUGACUCUGAGGCGCGAAAGCCAGGGGAGCAAACGGG